UAGGGAAUCUUCGGCAAUGGACGAAAGUCUGACCGAGCAACGCCGCGUGAGUGAAGAAGGUUUUCGGAUCGUAAAACUCUGUUGUUAGAGAAGAACAAGGACGUUAGUAACUGAACGUCCCCUGACGGGAUCUAACCAGAAAGCCACGGCUAACUACGUGCCAGCAGCCGCGGUAAUACGUAGGUGGCAAGCGUUGUCCGGAUUUAUUGGGCGUAAAGCGAGCGCAGGCGGUUUCUUAAGUCUGAUGUGAAAGCCCCCGGCUCAACCGGGGAGGGUCAUUGGAAACUGGGAGACUAGAGUGCAGAAGAGGAGAGUGGAAUUCCAUGUGUAGCGGUGAAAUGCGUAGAUAUAUGGAGGAACACCAGUGGAGAAGGCGGCUCUCUGGUCUGUAACUGACGCUGAGGCUCGAAAGCGUGGGGAGCAAACAGG
RNAcentral lists this ribosomal RNA (429 nucleotides) under Gemmatimonadota bacterium. RNAcentral's name for it is "Gemmatimonadetes bacterium partial 16S ribosomal RNA". It matches the Rfam family "Bacterial small subunit ribosomal RNA", at positions 355 to 776 of the family's 1533-position model. The record is from RNAcentral. Lineage: Bacteria; Pseudomonadati; Gemmatimonadota.